Molecule: non-coding RNA, 1295 nt
Organism: Pelobates cultripes (western spadefoot toad)
Lineage: Eukaryota; Metazoa; Chordata; Amphibia; Anura; Pelobatidae
Source: the annotation of a GenBank genome assembly
GUAAAUGUAGAUUUAUUAGCAUUGUUCAUUAUAUAAUAAAAUAGCUAAACUAGAAGACAGACAUUAUUUCAGCUUGGCUGUUUUUUUGGCUUAAAAUUUUAAAUGGUAUUGUCAAUUCUCCUUAAAUUUAGGCUGUGGCCCCCUUUCCACCCUUAGGAUUUCCAGACCUCAGCAAGGCAUAGACAGAUUUUUACAUUUUGGUCUAUUAUACAAAAUCAAAAAAUCAAAUGCGAACUAACUAUUCAACAUAACAUUGACUGGAUUUCAAAAUAAUAUUUUCUGAUGAAAUAUUUGAUCAGCAUUUGUAAAGCAGUCUUUUAACCUGGCAGAAAUACAUUAUUUAUAUGUUUUCAUUAGUCCUGUUUUCAGAUUUUGCUGUUUACAUGUAUGGGUUAAUUAACAACAUAGGCAUCCUCUCUUGUUGGGGGUCUUCCUGCUUUUGUCCAUCUCAUAUUUCUAACUACAUUUUAUAUGUAACUAUAACAGUGGCUGAGCUCAGCCAUCAAUCAAGCUACACAUAGAAAAUACAGAAAUAAAGGAGCACAUGGAUUUAAUUAAAUGAAUACUAUAGGGUCAGGAACAAAAAUAUGUAUUCCUGACCCUUUAGUGUUAAAAUCACUAUCUAGUCACCCCUUUUACCCCAAGAUAUAGUAAAAUCUUACUUAUCUUUAUUCCAGACUGCUGCUGCUGGUUCUGCCCCUGAUUUGCCUGCUUGGCUGACAUCAUCAGAACUGGUGAUCUGAGCCAAUCGCAAUAUUUUCCCAUAGGAAAGUAUUGGAUUGGCUCAGAUUGUUAAGAAGGCAUAUCAGGGGCAGAGCAAGCACAAGCCAAACAUAGCACUGGCCAAUCAGCAUCUCCUCAUAGGGAUGUAUUGGAUCAAUGCAUCUCUAUGAGGAGAUUUCAAUGUCUCCAUGCAGAGGGUGGAGACACUGAAUGUCAGUGAUGCACACUGUGCAGCACUGCCCCAGAAAGCACUUCUAGUAGCCAUCGGAUGAGUGGCCAGUCGAAGUAUCCUAAGGCUGUAAUGUAAACACUGCAUUUUCUCUAAAAAACUGUGUUUACUGCAAAAAGCUUGAAGGUGAUAAUUCUACUCAACAGAACAAACACAAUAAGCUAUAGUUGUUCUGGUGACUAUAAUGUCCCUUUAACUUUUAGUGAAGCCAAUAAAGUAUAUCUAAGGAUCACCUAAUAUAGACAAAAUAUAGUUAAUCGUUUUUUACAUUCUACUUGAUGAAAAAUGCACUAUUUAAAAGACAACCAACACAAAAUUGGAUUACUGGCAAACUAACUAUGAU